CCAAACCAGAUUCGGAAGAAUAUUGCUGUUUUUCUUCUCCCAAUCUGCUUCUCUUGCUGUGGAGGAUCCCCGUGAUGUCCACUGAGCUCUAUGGCUUCGCCAACUUUUGUGUGAUAUUGAGGCGAAAACUUUUGUUGCACAUUUGCUGAUCAGAAAAAGGUGUUACAACCAAACACCAUUCUCACCGGAAAUCGGUUCGUAACUGUGAAAGAUGAAGUGAUCCUCCUCCUCCUUGCAGAAGAUUUAGAGGAGCUCCAUGUUUGGGUUUGAGACCUAUUGUUGUUGUCUUUCUGAAGUCUAGCCUGGGAAACUUAUUCCAGUCUCAGAACAUAUAAAGAACAAACUCUGUAAGUGAAAAGUGAUUGAAUUUUGUUUGUUCCAAUCAGAGUAAUUGAAUAAAGAUUGAAAUUUGUAAGGGUCCCGUGGAUUAGUCUAAAUCUCCAUAUUAAUCAUAAAUGGUUUUGAACGUCAACUCCAAGCAUCUUUUUCCAUUGUGUUACUUACCUUUUGUCUUCAUUUUGCCAUAAGUUGUUCUUCUCCUUCAAAUUGUCUUCCUUAUUUUCCCUAGAUGAAUGUAGCUGACCCAAUAAAUUGAGGUUAAGGCUUGUUCAAUUGAGUGGGUAAUAUUUUUCUACAUGUACAUCUAAUAUGUCUCCCUGACUUUCACGUAAGCUGUUCAUUCUAGGGUUGAGUAGGUAAUAUUGUUCAAUUUUCGGAUUUUGUUGCCUUUUUCUGUCACUGAGAGAAUUGCCCAGUGGACAAUCAGGUAGAUAAGGAAUACCUCUGUUAAGUACUGACGCGGAAGUUGGGAUAUGAAAGAGUGCACAUUUGCCAUUUCUGCUGCUUUCUUCAUCUGUUCUUCAUCUGCAUCCAUAUUCCCCACCUUCAUAUUAUCUCCGAUGGUGCCAGAAAAGAGUGAUGGCUCCUGCGAAACUGCUCCAAUGCUUUUCCUGAGGAACUUCAAAUCUAGAUCUUUGAUGUCAUGAUUGUCAAUGAGGAUCUCACCUGGAAUGUUUCACAUUUCGUUAUUUUGUAGAAUUCCUUAUCUUCAGGUACCUGUUUUCUAUAAACAUUGUUUUCGAUGUGCAUUGAUAUGCUGACAUGCUUGAUGCAUCUACCCAUUGUUAGACACAAAAAUUCUUACAGUUGGAUAUUUUGUGCUCAAUGGAGGCAGAUAUCCAUUUAUUCCCCAAAUGCUAAAAGCUGUAGUUGGCAAUGUGCUACAAACCUUUUGAGGGAUCGUAGAAUCUUGCCACCAGAGAGAUGAUGGUGCUCUUCCCACACCCACUACUACCGACGAAUGCCACUACCUUCCCCGCUGGAAUUGACAAUGAGAACCCUUUAAGAAUCAAUUUCUCUGGCCUUGAUGGGUAAGAAAAGUACACAUCACGCAACUCAAUGUUGCCGUCAACUGCCUCAAGUGUGUUCCCUUUCAAACUGUAACAUAUUAAGGGCUUUCUUUCCAUCACUUGAAAAACUUCCAUCCCCGCAGCCUUUGCCUGAUUGAAUAUUUGCAGGUCUGGCGCAGCAUUUGUGAGUGAUCUGUAAUUCAGAAAAGAACAACAAAAGGGGCCCUUUUAAUAUCUGGUGGAAUAAAUUUUGGCUCUUUUAGCAAAAUAAAAAAUGAAAAGAUUGUUCAUUUGUUCAUUUAAAUUUAUUGUUCUUUGCUCCCUUACAUAGCACCGAAGAGAAUGCUCAUAACUGCAGCUAUCACAUAGCCCCCGCUUGCUCUCUUGGCUGUGACAACAAUGGCUCCAACCCAUACGAUCAAUGCCCAAGAACAAAAGAGGCUCCAAUUAUAAGAAUCAUUGGAACAACCAACAAGGAAAGGAGAGACACUUCCCAGCAACAGAUGAAAGCGAUCAAGACCCCAGAGAAGAAAGUUGAAGAGUUUGAGAGAAAAUGGCCCAGCUGUUUAAUAGAGUACUUUGUCAGGUGACAAUAAGAUUCUUGUUAUCAAGUUUACUUUCAUUUCAAUGAGGAAACCGGAUGAAAUAAUAAUACAUCCUCAAUGUAGCUAUUCCUACAAGAUAUGUCAAACUUUACUGGUUGUCAUCAUUGUGACCCAAGUUAAAGGAUGGUGCAGCAGAUGCAUGGAUGCUAAAAUGGGCCCUGGAUUAGUCCUACAUUUAAUAUGUUAUCUGUCUGAGUGCGCACCAUCCAAUUGUGUACAUAAUGAUUUAAAGGAGAAAAUAAUUUAGGUUGUGAAAAAGGUAUGUUUGAGUUGAUUAUAUCACUUAUUUAAUUUAUAAAUUUAUGUACUAUCAAAAUCCAAAUCAAUCUGUCAGAGUUUUGGAGUUUUUUUUUUUUUCAAUUUAUAUUUGAGUACUCAAAACUGGACCAUCCCUACCUAGUAGGAUUAGGGUUUGUGAUUGCUGUGUCUGUGGAUCAUGCAACAAAGAAAGAAGUGCUGCAGUAUACUAGAAUUCGCUAUUGGACUCACUGCUUGUGUAUUUGAAAUGAUUUUCAUGCAGCGUAUUUGAAAUGAUCCAUGUAAACAGUAAACAUCUCACCUUCUCACCAAUAGCAUCUUGUAUGAUGCCCAUGUGGUUGGUUAUUCCAGUGAUGAUCUUUCCAGGUGUUAAAUCCGUAUCAAAAGCCCCAAUCUCCUGGCUAAGCACUGCCUUCAAGUAUGCCAAUCUUAAACGUGUUACCUGUCUUUCACUAGCAUACAUCCAACAUCCUAUCUCUGCACAUUCCAGGACUGAGGUGAGUCACGAGGAAACACUUUUUUAUUUCCAGACAAUUUUCGAAACUUUUCCUUUUUUUAAUUUUCAUGCUCUAUUAUACUGCUAGUUCAAUGCACUGACACUAUAGCAUACAUCCAACGUCCUAUCUCUGCACAUUCCAGGACUGAGGUGAGUCAUGAGGAAACACUUUUUUAUUUCCAGAAAAUUUGCGAAACUUUUCCUUUUUUAAUUUUCAUGCUCUAUUAUACUGCUAGUACAAUGCACUGACACUAUGUUUUCACCUAGAAUUUGCUCAUUGAAACUAGGAGGUCCGCAUCCUGGCAUUCAUAAUCUGUGACUGUGAGGUAUAGUUGGAUGCUAACUUCAGUUGGUGUUUGCACCGUAAUAUUAAGUUUGUGCUUAUAAAGAUAGCAAGUGAUGAUUUUAACUUCAGUUGCAUCUAUAUUUUUGUGAAUACGUUUAGGAAGAAACGGAAAAGAAUAUGGUUUUCUGGUAGAUGUUCUGGGAUCCCUUCCUCAGAUUAGUCAGAUGGCAUUCAAGUUUGGCUCUUUAGUUCAUGGGUAGUAGCAGAGGUACUAGUAAGUACUGGAAAAUUUGGUACAUUCACAUGUCCAAAAUGAUAAAUGGGUGAAUGAGAAAUUGAUUGAAAAAUUGUUUUGAAGACAUAUGUAAUAUAAUAUAUAAUUUAUAAAUAAAAGAAAAAAAAAAUAAGAGAUAUAUUAUAUGUCGAAUUAUGAGAAUUCGUGCAUGUUGGACGAGACAACUAAUUGAAUUUCAAUAAUACAAUUAUUGUACAAGUACACCAUGCAUAACUUUGUGCAUGGACGGUUGCUUAUUUCAUUAUUAUAUUAUAUAUAUAAAGAUUAUAUUAUAUUUUUAAGAAAGAAGAGCAACCAGAGCGGCCCUCCUCCGUUCUUCCGUCGUCUUCUUUUCUUCUUCAUUCCUUUUUCUUCCUCUUCUCUUCCUCCUCCUUUAUAAAUAGAGGACUUACUUCAUUGAAAAAUAACAACAUAAUUUAUAGUAGAAUUAUUUUCUAAAAAUUCUCGUACUCUUUUAAUUUUAAUAAUGUUCAAUCAGUAUUCUAGUUCAUUAUUAAGUUUUGAAGUUUGUGCUAACUUCUUAGUCUGUAAACCGUUAUAUCCUAGGAAAUAGACGUUAAUUACCCUUUUAACAUUUUCGGUGAGAUGACAAAUCUAUUUUAAAAGAACUAUGUGUUACAUAAAUCUCAGUUUUAUUAUCCAUUUAUUUAUUGUUGUGAUUUUAUUUUUCCUUUUGUAGUAUUAUCUUAUUUCAAUAUUUUUGUAUUGAAAUGCAAAAUUAUAAUCAUUAUUAUAAUUAUAUUUUUGAAUAAUAAUUAUAAUAUUAUAAAUAUAAUUAUUUUAUUGUGGUUAACUAUAAGAACAUGGGUGAAGGGCUGUCUAAUUCAGAGUUUCACAUCAACUUUACUACACUCGCAUAGGCAGUCACAUGGGAGAAUGGAGUAAGGGAUUCUGUAUAUGCCAGCCAGAGAGGGUUCAGAAAAGUACCUAAAAUUCCUGCAGGAAAUGUGGCAAUGGCCAUGUAGAACACAUAGGGAAUAACCUGGAGAAACCAGAUAACAACUCCUAUUACUGUCCAUUAGCAUACAAUGCUGGUAGGCUUCGUGUCUGGAGGAGAGUGGUACCUUAUCGAGAGCUUCAACCAUUUUGUUAGUGUCCUUGAUGUGGCUACCAUAUGCAUUGAGUGCCUUUCCCAGCAGCAGAUAGCCUAUGGGUUGUGCCAUGCCAUGGACAAUGGAUCCCAGCGUUCCCAGAGCCAUCAGUGCCCAAUCUAACGCAUCUGCAUAGCUCAGAAGCUUGCAAAAUGGCAGCGGGGCUGGAGUGCUAAUCCGCUUAUUGACCUCUGUGUCUUCUCUCGUCUUAACUCCACCCUGCAUGGCUUUCGGCUCUUCAGAAGAAGCCAUUUCAACCGUGGAUCCACGUGUUUUCAUAUCAACUCUGGAGGGGCUUAUACUUUAUAGAGCUUGACUACUGCUGGCUUGGAAUAUGUCGGGCAUAUGCUCUUGCAUCGUGGGAAAGAAAGUGCUGGUUUUAACGCUUUCUUGCCCUUUUCUCUUUGGUUCCAUCGCAGAUUUGCUUUCCAUAUGAGGUGGACUGACGCUGCUGAGGUGCACAAAGGACAUGCCGGCAGGCAGAAUCUAAAGUGGGGCACCCUUACUUGCAAUCAUCGGAUGCCUGACUGUGUUCAACCUUUGCAGGAACCGAAUAUUCGGAAUAUUCAGACAGUAUCUGGAGGAGAAGAAGACGACCCGGUGGUGAAUUCUUCUGAAGAACAGCCAGAACAAGUUCAUCAGUUCCCUUGCUGGGCUGUUCGAUGAAAUUAAGGUGUUAAUUCCGAGGGAAUUUUGGCGACUGUUCUUCCUCCAAGUAUACUGAUUUCUCGUCGUUUCCACAACAUGUGUGUAUAGGCUUUGGGCUUGACCAUGUAUUAGAAUCUCACGGCAGUGUGCGUUAAUAUCUAUUAAAACGGUCUGAAAUCUGAAUCAAAAAGCUUCCCAUUUGAGAUUCUGGAAUGAAAAUCUAACUUCGUUUCGUGGGCCAAACCUAUAAUUUUGUACUUCUACUUUUACAUUUUUUUUUUUGU
Long non-coding RNA from Diospyros lotus (date-plum), 5312 nucleotides. RefSeq lists it as uncharacterized. Lineage: Eukaryota; Viridiplantae; Streptophyta; Magnoliopsida; Ericales; Ebenaceae. The record is from RefSeq and is a predicted model, not a curated record. The transcript has 5 exons.